This is a long non-coding RNA of Helianthus annuus (common sunflower), 764 nucleotides long. RefSeq lists it as uncharacterized. NCBI's taxonomy places the organism in Eukaryota, Viridiplantae, Streptophyta, Magnoliopsida, Asterales, Asteraceae. The record is from RefSeq and is a predicted model, not a curated record. The transcript has 3 exons.
UCUCUCUCUAAAAACACCUUUAUUAUUAUUCUAAACAUCUAAGCUUCCAUUUAAUCGCCAGUCAUUGUACACCGGAGGCGAUUGUAAAGUGAGAUUGCCGGAGAAAUUCGAGGUAUUUUCCGAUCACACAACCGCUGCUUCUCGCCCUAUCAAUCGAGGUGGUUUAGACAUUGACAAACAACAUAAUGAACGCGCAAGCAGCAGCACUUUAGAGUGAUCAAGAAGGUAUUUAUUGGAAGUAAAUCUUAUGAUUAGUAGAUGGGUCAUGUCCUCAGCGUUUCAGAACGGUUCCUACACUGGUAGAGACAUGAGCCACCAUGUGGAAGUCACAAAGAUUGUUAUUAUUCGUAUCUCUGGUAAACAACAUACUCGUAACUACAUAUUUUGUAUUUAUUAUUUGUGCUGGUCUGCUCUUUUUAUUGUUUUUAGUGUGGUAGCAACCGUUGUUUUAUUUUGGAACAAAUUCUAAUUGCUAACUAGACAUUUUGUGACAACCAUUUUGUUAUAGCAGGUUGUUUUUAUCGGUAAAAUUGCUGCUUGGGUUUGGUAACGGACUAACGGGUCAGAUUACAAGUCAAAUUACAGGUCAAACAGAUCAGAUUACAGCUUAAAUAAGCAUGCCAUUACAAACUGUAAUUUGUUGAUAAUCGGUCAACCAUCUUGCAUUUUGUAACGGGUUAAUUAUAAUACAACAUGUUACCUUUCGUUCAUAAGAGGUAGCGCGUUGCAUGUCCUUGACAUGUUAGGUUACAUCUGUUCUUCUU